Molecule: ribosomal RNA, 496 nt
Filed under: uncultured bacterium
Lineage: Bacteria
Description: partial 16S ribosomal RNA
Rfam family: Bacterial small subunit ribosomal RNA
Source: RNAcentral
AUGAACGCUGGCGGCGUGCCUAAUACAUGCAAGUCGAGCGAACAGACGAGGAGCUUGCUCCUCUGACGUUAGCGGCGGACGGGUGAGUAACACGUGGAUAACCUACCUAUAAGACUGGGAUAACUUCGGGAAACCGGAGCUAAUACCGGAUAAUAUAUUGAACCGCAUGGUUCCAUAGUGAAAGACGGUUUUGCUGUCACUUAUAGAUGGAUCCGCGCCGCAUUAGCUAGUUGGUAAGGUAACGGCUUACCAAGGCAACGAUGCGUAGCCGACCUGAGAGGGUGAUCGGCCACACUGGAACUGAGACACGGUCCAGACUCCUACGGGAGGCAGCAGUAGGGAAUCUUCCGCAAUGGGCGAAAGCCUGGCGGAGCAACGCCGCGUGAGUGAUGAAGGUCUUCGGAUCGUAAAACUCUGUUAUUAGGGAAGAACAAAUGUGUAAGUAACUAUGCACGUCUUGACGGUACCUAAUCAGAAAGCCACGGCUAACUACGUG